Molecule: small nuclear RNA, 103 nt
Organism: Callithrix jacchus (white-tufted-ear marmoset)
Lineage: Eukaryota; Metazoa; Chordata; Mammalia; Primates; Cebidae
Source: Ensembl
GUGCUUCGGCAGUACCUACACUAAAAUUGAAACAAUACACAGAAGGCUGGCUUGGCUGCCAUGCAAGGAUGACACACAAAGGUGGGCAGUGUCCUGUAUUUUU